RNAcentral lists this unclassified non-coding RNA (88 nucleotides) under Pseudomonas helmanticensis. The record is from RNAcentral. Lineage: Bacteria; Pseudomonadati; Pseudomonadota; Gammaproteobacteria; Pseudomonadales; Pseudomonadaceae.
UGUAGGAGUGAGCCUGCUCGCGAUAACGGUGUGUCAGCAACGCAAAUGUUGGCUGACGGACGCGAUCGCGAGCAGGCUCACUCCUACA